GCCCUGCUGUGUACGUGGUAGGCCGAAAAGUUUUGAGCCAACACCUUCACAAAGGGAGCCUGGACUCUGGCUGUGGCGUAAAUGCCUCCCCAGAGUGGACUUACAAAGCAGUCAGGAGGGCACCCACCUGCCGAGCGCAGGUUCAAAACAUCGGAGGACACGGCACAGUGGGGUAU
RNAcentral lists this non-coding RNA (176 nucleotides) under marine sediment metagenome. RNAcentral's name for it is "6S / SsrS RNA". It matches the Rfam family "6S / SsrS RNA". Rfam says of the family: E. coli 6S RNA was the first non coding RNA to be sequenced, but its function was unknown until recently. It consists of 184 nucleotides that fold into an extended hairpin structure with a large single-stranded internal bulge. RNAcentral also lists the same sequence under 1 other name. The record is from RNAcentral.